CGAUCGAGAGCUUUAUUCUGCUGGAGAGAAUCCGACCCAGAUGUUAAACAAAUAAAUACAGGAGACAUCUGGCUGCAAAAAAAAAAAGAGUUCAGUUUUACAGAUCAAAACCAAGAAACAUAAGAGAAGAACACCAGUGGCAUGACUUUUCUUAUUCAACUUGAAGGAUCUCUGUAUAAAUGAAAGGACUCUUCAUUGUCUCAAUAUACAAACAUGUCAGAGUUGUACCCCAUCGAGGGAUGGUCUCGAUGACACAAGUGCAUUCUGGGUCGACACAUCUGCACGUGCAUGGACAUUGUGAUGAGCUCAUCUGUUCUGUGCGCAGAGGAUGGUCUCGUUCAAAUGUACAGCACACACACACACACACACAAUGUCAUUGUAUUAAUACAAGGCACAACUGGAUGAGGCCUCUGCUUCUUACUGGAAACAAGUAUAUAAAGUCAGGCUUUUAUUUUAUCAGCAUUACAAAUGUUCUAAAGAAAUCAUCCAGCAUCAGAUUCAAACAAGGACAAACUACGCAAAGGUUCUUUGAUUGGAUUCGCUCGCAUGCUCCAAACACAGCAGGACUUCAAAUAUUUGAUUUUUGGUAUUCAUUAAAACAAAUGUCCAUCACUUACUUCCACUUCAUCAACCUCUCUUUUACACACUUUAAUGCAACAUAUUCAAGAUCCAAAUUAUAUCAUAAGCUGUUGCGUGAUUCCACAGACGAGAGACACGCAGAGCAGAAGUGAAAACCAAGAGGUCUUCAGGAUGUUUGCAUGUUCUUCACAGAAAAUUAAAUGAAAAAUCACUCUUCUCAUUUCUUGGCAAUACAGAAUAUAUAAACGCCAGGCCGGUAAAUAUCAAAGUUAAAAUGCUAAAAUAGGCUUUUAUUUGUAUUAAUUUACAGUUCAUGUCAGUGAUUCCACAGCUCAUUGAUAAUUCUAGAAUGUUGACCUGGGCUCUGUCAGCAUCUCAAUACCAGUUGUUGGACUACAGAGACGAGCAGAUUUUUGGUUCGGGACUCCAUUGUCUUUAUUGCCAGAGGGGUGGGAGGAUUUAAAGGGUGAAAGGCCUCUUAUUUAAACCCCUCCCAAGAGCUUUCUGACACGAUCCCUCUGCUCAUUCUGCUGAUUCCAGCCAACUUGACUUUGGCGCGCGCCGUCCACCGGACGGCAGCUGUUGAAUCCUUGGAGUCCGACAGGUUAGCGUAGCGGGAGGAGUCCUCCUCCAGACCUUGGCCCGCCCAGGCGGCCGGUACAGAGUCGGGGAAGGACACUGGCGAGUCCCCUUUGCGGCUCUUCUCCUCCUCGGCUUCGUCGGUCCCGGUCUCGGUUGAGUUCCCCGGAUGUGGAGGCUCCCAGCCCUCGAUUUUCUCCAGCUUCUUGGUGGGCGAGAUCUGCCUCAUUGUCAUGGACGAGGGAGUAAACCGCGCUGCGUUGGCGGGUUAAACUGGCAGCUCAUUCUCGUCCGGCGGAGGAGAAAACGGAAAAUGUCGACUCUAAUGUCAACCUGAAAAAAAAAAAAUCCAGGCAUUGCGGGAUCGUCCUUCUGCACGUUAAAGUGGGGACGCGGAGGCAGGUGACGGCAGCGUCAUUGCGUGUGUAAUCUCACCCUCUGCGGUCGGUCAGCUUUACUCCGGUCAACAAGAAGUGCUCGUCGUCUUUAGAGGAGAACAUCUUCUUCUCCCGCCUCUCUUUCUUGGACAUGAUCUUCUUCCCCUUCGCCUCCUGAAAGAAGUCAAAAGAUAAGAGAUGAUUGAUAUCAGAGAGAGAUAAGUGCAGAGGGAGAGGGGCAUUGAGUUGGCAAUAACACGCGGCACAUUCCAGUGAAAGACCCUCCACCUUCUCUUAAAACUCCCCCGGUCUCCCCCGUCACAUCGGAAUUCCUCCCUUCCCUUUGCCUCUCUCCACCAAGCACAGACACCGCCCUCCUCAGCCAUCAUAGAACAAACUCUUGGCUCUGUUUCCCUCCUGGGAAGAAUUCCCAAUGUCAACCGCCGUCAAGGCCGCGACGUUCACUCG
This is a long non-coding RNA of Gasterosteus aculeatus aculeatus (three-spined stickleback), 2003 nucleotides long. Lineage: Eukaryota; Metazoa; Chordata; Actinopteri; Perciformes; Gasterosteidae. The record is from Ensembl.